Molecule: ribosomal RNA, 484 nt
Filed under: uncultured bacterium
Lineage: Bacteria
Description: partial 16S ribosomal RNA
Rfam family: Bacterial small subunit ribosomal RNA
Source: RNAcentral
AUUGAACGCUGGCGGAAUGCUUUACACAUGCAAGUCGAGCGGCAGCGCGGCCUUCGGGCUGGCGGCGAGCGGCGAACGGGUGAGUAAUUCAUCGGAACAUGCCCAGUCGUGGGGGAUAACACUUCGAAAGAAGUGCUAAUACCGCAUACGUCCUGAGGGGGAAAGCGGUGGAUCGCAAGGCCUCGCGCGAUUGGAUUGGCCGAUGUCAGAUUAGCUAGUUGGUGGGGUAAAGGCCUACCAAGGCGACGAUCUGUAGCUGGUCUGAGAGGAUGAUCAGCCACACUGGGACUGAGACACGGCCCAGACUCCUACGGGAGGCAGCAGUGGGGAAUUUUGGACAAUGGGGGCAACCCUGAUCCAGCCAUGCCGCGUGAGUGAAGAAGGCCUUCGGGUUGUAAAGCUCUUUCGGCAGGAACGAAACGGUGGGCUCUAACAUAGUCCGCUAAUGACGGUACCUGAAGAAGAAGCACCGGCUAACUACGUG